RNAcentral lists this ribosomal RNA (527 nucleotides) under Taenia sp. Rhombomys opimus. Its description in RNAcentral is "partial large subunit ribosomal RNA". Lineage: Eukaryota; Metazoa; Platyhelminthes; Cestoda; Cyclophyllidea; Taeniidae. The record is from RNAcentral.
GGUUUUUGUGCCUUUUGCAUCAUGCUUGAUGGAUUUAGUAAAUUAUUUUAAUUGUUUAGAAGUAAGUGUUUAUCCUAGGUAAGGUUAGUUAAAUGAUUUAUAAGAAGUGAUAAAUUAGUCGUUAAAUUUUAUAUCUAUUUAGCUGCUUCGUGGUAUUGAGUUAAGUUAUGGGUUAUGAUAUCCAUAAUUUGUUUACACUACAAUUAAUUUUUAAUUAAAGAUUAGGUUAGAAUUACCUGUUUUUUAUAAGUUUGUUAAAAAUUUUUUGUUAUAUAAUUGGAUAGUUAAUUUAUGUAGUAGCUUAAUGAAAUUUUUAGUAUGCUAAUGAUCAUUAAAUAAGUAAUUAUAUUAUAUCAGUUAUUUCUCGGUAAUUUUCCGUCUGUUUAUUAAAAACAUUUCCAAUUUUAAUAAUAGUUGGUAUUACCUGCUCUAUGUUUAUAUAAAUGGCCGCAGUAUAUUGACUGUGCGAAGGUAGCAAUAAUUAAUUGCCUUUUAAUUGGGGGCUUGUUUGAAUGGUUUGACGUGAU